CUUAAAUUGAACUUGAGGAAAACAGAUUCCUUUCGUCACUAAAAGGCUAUUCUUUUGUCUCCGAAAUUUUAGACCUUAUUUAUUGCCAUGAUAUUAUGGUAAAUGAGGAUCAUCAUUGUUUCAACCCCUCAUUUCCUUGUCCCUCGAUUCCAUAGAUGGCUGUUUUAUCCUACAUCAAUUCAUCUUUUCUAAGUUGUGAUUAUCUUCCACAUUCUUUCUUUGCAAGUUGAAGUUUCAAGGAAAAGUUUGCUCUCCGAUUUUAGUAAACCUGCUUAGCCACCACACCACUUUGGCUAUUUUAUUAUAAUGAUGGGCAUAUAUGACAAAGUCACAGUGAGAUCACUGCCACUGCUAAAUGCUGUUCCUUUCUAAAGACUGAUGUAUAGACUUCACUCUAUAUUUAAAAAUACAAAAUAAAAAGCGAAUUUGGAGAAUUAAAAACAACAGCAACAACCAUAGCAGCAACAAAAUAACAAUCAGAUCCCCAGUUCUUCUCCUCACGAUAAGCAAAGAAGAACACUUCUCUCUCUCUCUUUUUUAAAUAGACUUUGAAUUGUAGAGCAAUUUUAAUUUCACAGCAAAACUGAGCAGAAAGUACAGAGAUUUCCCACCCCUGCCUCCACAUGUGCAUAGCCUUCCCAUUAACAACAUCCACCACCAGAGCGGUACAUUUGUUACAAUUGAUGAACCUACGUUGACACAUCGUAUCACCCAAAUUCCAAAGUUUACCUUAGUGUUUACUUUUGGUGUUGUACAUUCUAUGAGUUUUGGCAAAUGUGUAAUGACACAUAUCCGUUCUUACUGUAUUAUAUGGAAUACUUUCACUGACCCCUCUGAGCUCUGCCUAUUUAUCUCUCCCUCCCCCUAACUCCUGGCAACCACUGAAAGAAUCUUUUUACUGUCUCCAGUUUUGCCUUUUCCAGAAUGUUAUGUAGUUGGAAUCGCAUGCAGUGAAUGAGAAGUCCUGUUGCUCCACAUCCUCUCCCCCAUUUGGUGUCGUCAGUGUUCUUGAUUUUGGCCAUUCUAACGAGUGAACAAAGAUCACAAAAACAAUUCAUCUUAUCAAAACUGAAAUGAGGACACCUCAAAAUUUAUCAAGAGAUGGCCCCCCAAUACAUAGUUGUGGAUUCUAGUUGUGAGCGCCUCUGGUUGUGCUAUGUGGGACACCGCCUCAGCAUGGCCUGACCAACAGUGCCAAGUCCUCACCCAGGAUACGAACCAGCAAAAUCCUGGGCUGCCAGAGCACAGCAGACGAACUUAACCACUCGGCCACGGGGCAGGCCCCAUAAGUUCAUUUUUCAAGUGUUUAAUUUAUCAUAGUGAACAAUAUAAGAGCAAGUUUAAUUGAGACACAGUUGUGUUUAAAAUAUCUCCUUUGUGUUUAUGACAGAAAAAUAUCCACUAUAUACCAACGCAUCCAUUUUAAUUGCGUCUCCACAUAGAAACAGAAAAUAAAGAAGGCAGAAAACUCAAACCCAGCUCUGCUAUUUCUUAAGACUAAAGAAUAAUAACUGAUUCCCCCAAUGAUAACAACAGUGAAACAAGCCGGACUCCUGCCACACCAAGAAAACACAGCAGCAAAAGUCUGAGCUUUUUAGCAUCACUGAAAAAGAACUUACCGAGUACACUUGAUGUUCCUGUACGAUAACAAAAUGAAAAGGAAUUGAUCUGUGGAUACAUGUUUUCCAAGAAAAUGUCACCCGUUUUCAAAUGACAACAACUGGAUACUUAUACCUAUUAAAAGAUAUUAAACCAGGGUUCUUCAGGAAGCCUUCGUGAGUAGACAGUCGUCAGAUGUUCUGUUGAC
RNAcentral lists this long non-coding RNA (1807 nucleotides) under Equus caballus (horse). Its description in RNAcentral is "lncRNA (ENSECAG00000040175.3)". Lineage: Eukaryota; Metazoa; Chordata; Mammalia; Perissodactyla; Equidae. The record is from RNAcentral.